This 433-nucleotide ribosomal RNA is filed under the name uncultured bacterium. RNAcentral's name for it is "partial 16S ribosomal RNA". It matches the Rfam family "Bacterial small subunit ribosomal RNA", at positions 29 to 507 of the family's 1533-position model. The record is from RNAcentral.
AACGAACGCUGGCGGCAUGCCUAACACAUGCAAGUCGAACGAGACCUUCGGGUCUAGUGGCGCACGGGUGCGUAACGCGUGGGAACCUGCCCUUAGGUUCGGAAUAACUCCCCGAAAGGGGUGCUAAUACCGGCUAAUGUCUUCGGACCAAAGAUUUAUCGCCUUUGGAUGGGCCUGCGUUGGAUUAGCUAGUUGUUAGGGUAAAACCCUACCAAGGCGACGAUCCAUAGCUGGUUUGAGAGGAUGAGCAGCCACACUGGUACUGAGACACGGCCCGGACUCCUACGGGAGGCAGCAGUGGGGAAUAUUGGACAAUGGGGGGAAGCCUGAUCCAGCUAGGCCGCGUGAGUGAUGAAGGCCGUAGGGUUGUAAAGCUCUUUUACCCGGGGUGAUAAUGACAGUACCGAGAGAAUAAGCUCCGGCUAACUCCGUG